This 495-nucleotide ribosomal RNA is filed under the name uncultured bacterium. RNAcentral describes it as "partial 16S ribosomal RNA". It matches the Rfam family "Bacterial small subunit ribosomal RNA", at positions 28 to 507 of the family's 1533-position model. The record is from RNAcentral.
GACGAACGCUGGCGGCGUGCCUAAUACAUGCAAGUAGAACGCUGAAGGAGGAGCUUGCUUCUCUGGAUGAGUUGCGAACGGGUGAGUAACGCGUAGGUAACCUGCCUGGUAGCGGGGGAUAACUAUUGGAAACGAUAGCUAAUACCGCAUAAUAGUAGAUGUUGCAUGACAUUUGCUUAAAAGGUGCACUUGCCUCACUACCAGAUGGACCUGCGUUGUAUUAGCUAGUUGGUGGGGUAACGGCUCACCAAGGCGACGAUACAUAGCCGACCUGAGAGGGUGAUCGGCCACACUGGGACUGAGACACGGCCCAGACUCCUACGGGAGGCAGCAGUAGGGAAUCUUCGGCAAUGGACGGAAGUCUGACCGAGCAACGCCGCGUGAGUGAAGAAGGUUUUCGGAUCGUAAAGCUCUGUUGUAAGAGAAGAACGAGUGUGAGAGUGGAAAGUUCACACUGUGACGGUAUCUUACCAGAAAGGGACGGCUAACUACGUG